AAGUCGUAACAAGGUCUCCGUUGGUGAACCAGCGGAGGGAUCAUUAAAGAGUUGCAAAACUCCCAACCAUUGCUAAACAACCACUGUUUCUUCGGUGGGUGGCCGCAUGGCCGCGCGCACCCCUCUCGGGGGGACGCACCCCGCCGGAGCACACCAAACUCUUGUCAUUAUUGAUGCUCUGAGUAAAAAACAAAAUUAUUACAACUUUCAACAAUGGAUCUCUUGGCUCUGGCAUCGAUGAAGAACGCAGCGAAAUGCGAUACGUAAUGUGAAUUGCAGAAUCCAGUGAAUCAUCGAAUCUUUGAACGCACAUUGCGCCCGCCAGUAUUCUGGCGGGCAUGCCUGUCCGAGCGUCAUUUCAACCAUCAAGCCUAGUGCUUGUGUUGGGGCCCCGCGGCUGCCGCGGGCCCUGAAAACUAGUGGCGGGCUCGAAGUCGAACCGAGUGCAGUAAAUUUCUUCGCUUGGGAAGGUGACGAGUUCCGGCCGUAAAAAGCCCAACUUUAUCAAGGUUGACCUCGGAUCAGGUAGGAUUACCCGCUGAACUUAAGCAUAUCAAUAAGCGGAGGAAAAGAAACCAACAGGGAUUGCCCCAGUAACGGCGAGUGAAGCGGCAACAGCUCAAAUUUGAAAUCUGGCUUCGGCCCGAGUUGUAAUUUGUAGAGGAAGCUUCUGGUGAGGCACCGUCCGAGUCCCCUGGAACGGGGCGCCACAGAGGGUGAGAGCCCCGUAUGGAUGGACGCCGAUCCUGUGUGAAGCUCCUUCGACGAGUCGAGUAGUUUGGGAAUGCUGCUCAAAAUGGGAGGUAAAUUCCCUCUAAAGCUAAAUACCGGCCAGAGACCGAUAGCGCACAAGUAGAGUGAUCGAAAGAUGAAAAGCACCUUGAAAAGGGGGUUAAACAGCACGUGAAAUUGUUGAAAGGGAAGCGCUUAUGAUCAGAACUCGGGCCCGUCGGAUCAUCCGGUGUUCUCACCGGUGCACUCCGGCGGUUCUGGGCCAGCAUCGGUUUUUGCGGGGGGACAAAGGUCCCGGGAACGUAGCUCCUCCGGGAGUGUUAUAGCCCGGGGCGUAAUGCCCUCGCGGGGACCGAGGACCGCGCUUCGGCAAGGAUGCUGGCAUAAUGGUCAUUAGCGACC
This 1134-nucleotide ribosomal RNA is filed under the name uncultured Lasiosphaeriaceae. RNAcentral describes it as "eukaryotic LSU rRNA". The stretch from base 512 to 1134 matches the Rfam family "Eukaryotic large subunit ribosomal RNA", at positions 1 to 649 of the family's 3401-position model. Lineage: Eukaryota; Fungi; Ascomycota; Sordariomycetes; Sordariales; Lasiosphaeriaceae. The record is from RNAcentral.